UCAUUAUGAAUAGAAAGAGACAGAUAAAAAAAAUAAAUAAAUUUAUUGUACAAUAACAAAAGUAAAGGGUUUCUUUAACAUUAAUUCUUUAAAAAAAAAUCCUUAUACAGCAUGACAGUUUUAUGAUAUUUGGGAGAAUCUAUAAGCUUAACACUGUUUAUAUAUUCUUCAAAUUCAGCCAGAAGUCUGUAAAUCCCUUUACAGUACUCUGCAUUUUUGAAACAAACAAUAUUAAAAGGUUGAUAAUGUAUUCAA
Molecule: long non-coding RNA, 255 nt
Organism: Thalassophryne amazonica
Lineage: Eukaryota; Metazoa; Chordata; Actinopteri; Batrachoidiformes; Batrachoididae
Exons: 3
Source: RefSeq, a predicted model, not a curated record